GUAGCGCUGUUAUUUGGUCAAUUUGGUCACCUGUUAGCUGCGCUACUGUUUUAGCAGCGCGUUUAGUAGCGACCGGUAAAGUGUCAAGUAAUGAUACUGCGCUGACAAACGGUUUAUACUCACCACCGAAAUGAAGCUUAUGAUAAAUAAAAUACUGCUGCUUGCUGGUCACUGAUUGAAGAUCGUUCAGUGGCUACCAUUGGCCAAUCUCACCAACGGGAUAUAAUAAGAACUGAUGCAGGUUUAUAUCUAUAUGUAUUGUCUAUUCGGAACAAAGUUAGUACGCUUUUUAAACCGAUGUUAGAUUUUUCUCCAGAUACAGGCAACCCACUUAACUUUGGAAGUAGUGCGCUGAAUUCGUCUAAAGAUAUGCUAAA
Armigeres subalbatus is the source of this 377-nucleotide long non-coding RNA. RefSeq lists it as uncharacterized. The transcript has 3 exons. The record is from RefSeq and is a predicted model, not a curated record. Lineage: Eukaryota; Metazoa; Arthropoda; Insecta; Diptera; Culicidae.